Long non-coding RNA from Pygoscelis adeliae (Adelie penguin), 540 nucleotides. RefSeq lists it as uncharacterized. The record is from RefSeq and is a predicted model, not a curated record. The transcript is spliced from 3 exons. NCBI's taxonomy places the organism in Eukaryota, Metazoa, Chordata, Aves, Sphenisciformes, Spheniscidae.
GAAAGAACUUGCAGAACUACAACUAAGCUGUUCCUGGGCCUUGUGUUCAAGCCAAAGCUGAAGGCACAUUUGCAGACAAUAUCAUUACAGAGGGGAGAGCUGGACUGACUUAACAAUAACUUGAUGCCUCAAUGGACUCUGCAUACCAGUCUACUGUAAUGUGAAAUAUCAUUAUCUUUGGAAACACCCACCCUCCUCAAGAAAAUGAGGAUGCUUCUCCAGAAACAAGGCCAUUUGAUAUUCAGCAUGAUCUUUAAUGUUCUUCUAUGUAAAAUGUACUUAAUCCACCAUAAAAAGACAGAAAGAAAUAUAAAGAAAAAAAAAUUUUAUGCCUUAUGUUAUCAGUUUAUAUAUUUCAUCCAGUUUAUAUCUCUUCUUCACCAUCUUCUGAGUCCCUCCUUCUUGCUCUUUGCUCAAAAAAAUUGCAGCCUGUAAGAUGUCUCUCUUGAACAGAAUGGGCAAUAAAGGUGUAAUAAAUUUACAUUAACAAAACCCAGCAAAUCUGAGGACACAAGUCAAGGUCCAGAAUGUGGAGAAGAG